CCUACGGGAGGCAGCAGUAAGGAAUAUUGGUCAAUGGACGCAAGUCUGAACCAGCCAUGCCGCGUGCAGGAUGAAGGCCCUCUGGGUUGUAAACUGCUUUUAUAGGGGACGAAAAAGGGACUUUCUAGUUCAACUGACGGUACCCUAGGAAUAAGCACCGGCUAACUCCGUGCCAGCAGCCGCGGUAAUACGGAGGGUGCAAGCGUUAUCCGGAUUUACUGGGUUUAAAGGGUGCGUAGGUGGGUCGGUAAGUCAGCGGUGAAAUCUUCGAGCUUAACUCGGAAACUGCCAUUGAUACUAUCGAUCUUGAAUCAUCUAGAGGUAAGCGGAAUAUGUCAUGUAGCGGUGAAAUGCUUAGAUAUGACAUAGAACACCAAUUGCGAAGGCAGCUUACUAUGGAUGCAUUGACACUGAGGCACGAAAGCGUGGGGAUCAAACAGGAUUAGAUACCCUGGUAGUCCACGCCCUAAACGAUGGAUACUCGACAUCAGCGAUACACUGUUGGUGUCUGAGCGAAAAGCAUUAAGUAUCCCACCUGGGAAGUACGAUCGCAAGAUUGAAACUCAAAGGAAUUGACGG
This 579-nucleotide ribosomal RNA is filed under the name uncultured bacterium. Its description in RNAcentral is "bacterial SSU rRNA". It matches the Rfam family "Bacterial small subunit ribosomal RNA", at positions 338 to 916 of the family's 1533-position model. The record is from RNAcentral.